This 2097-nucleotide long non-coding RNA is filed under the name Mus musculus (house mouse). RNAcentral describes it as "predicted gene, 30455". Lineage: Eukaryota; Metazoa; Chordata; Mammalia; Rodentia; Muridae. The record is from RNAcentral.
ACAUUCUGAGAUUUGUUGAGGAGAACACUGCCUCCCCAACACGUGGUGUCUCAAGUCGGAUGGCAUUCCAAAAUUGAGGGAACCCAUUUAUGAUAGGCAGAUGGUACCUCAAGCCUCUCAGACUCAACAUGCAAGAGCUCACACUCGAGCACAGCAGAGGUCUCUACCACUGGACGUUUAGCAUUACCCACUGGAAGUGUGAGGGAAGAGUGAGUGAUGGUGAAGAAUGCCAUGUCAUGGCACUGCCACAAGGCUCAGGGAUGACAAGGCCCUACCUACGUGCAAUCACGACCCACCACACAGUGCGCGACACUCCCAGAGUGUGCUGCUUGGCUUCCUGGGAGGCUUCGUCUCACUGUAUUUCCUUCAGACCUGAGAAAAUGGCAAUGGAGACGUCCAGUGUGGGAGCUGCCGCAUACUGCGCAGGGUCCCCACAGUCAUCACAUCCUGGGGCCCAGGACGGCUGCAGCUGCCAGCUGGUGUGGACUGGCUCUAUGCUGUGGCACUGCUGGCGUGGAAACAGAGCAAAGUCAACAACACGCAGUUACACCUUCCCACUCUUCCAGCUCUAAUACACUGAGAAGCUGGUCAGUAAUUCUCUUUUGUGGUACCUCUUUAGGGAAGGAGCGGGAAAAGAGCUUUCAGACAACCAUUCUGGGAAAAACAUAAGAACUUUUACUAACAAAUUCACAGCAGGCACCCAGAAGCUACCCGACCUGUACUCAGAUGAUAUGUGGCAGGGAUACAAAUACCCCCAAUGAAGAAUUACAAUUACAUAUACACAUGAGUGCUCCAGCGAGCUAGAGGUUUAUACAGACUCUGCAUCUCCUGCUGGCAAGGCGGCUUACUAAGAAUCUGAAAAAAGCAAUGUUUGUGAAACAAAAAAUAUGCAUGGUGUCAGAACGAGACAUGUCAACAAAGCAGCAGUAAGCAAAGGCUGGUGAACAGUCUAUACCCCUGCAUGGUGUCCCCUGCACACAAUUCAGCAUGUUGAAAUGCAGGGGUGUAGACACACUGUUCUGUUAACCUGACAUUUGGAAUUUGGUCUUUUGAUUGUUCUGAGACUGGAGAGCAACAACCUGGAAGGGAAUCCCACUUCUUUCUCUUGAUCACAUCAGUGUCAUUAUCAUGGAACAUCUAAGAAUCCCUCUGGAAGGAUUCUCCUGGUUUCUCCUCUUCAAAACUAAUAGCACAAAAGAAAAUAAAGAUGACAUACUGCCCACCUCAGUUCUACAGGCCCCACCUCAAAGUCACUAUACAAAGUCUUCAACUACAUACACUAUGGGGGCGAGGAGGGGGUCUCAAAUGCCAAACCCAAAUCAUAAUUCAAGAGACAAAACAAAUUCUCAUCUUUAGUGUGCAAAGAUUACCACGCUUUAGAAAAUUUCAAACUUGGUUUUUCCUUGCACAGCUCUACGUAUGACGUUGGAGAAGAGUACCAGAAUAUUCUUGUCUCGUUUAUUUCAAGGCACUUUCCAUCAAAAGGUGCAAAUAGAAAUAAAGCUACUUGGUCUGCUCUAACAGGAAAAGUCUACAUGUAAAUCCUUGGAGGGGGUUUCUAGGCACUAACAGACCAUGGAUAAGCAAGCAGUUCUAUUUGACGUUCUCCAGAGUCACUGGUAUCUGUGGCAUCAGCUAAGCUACUGACUGAAAUGUUGGUAAAUUGUCAACUCCUUGUCUUACAGCCACUGAACAUUUUAUGCAUGCAACAAGCCUCCUGUGUAUUUGAGGAUAAUCCCUACAGAGAGAACCUCCAUUACUAUACAUCUCAUGCCCUCUAAUUUUAAGAACACGUCAAAGUGAUUAGCUAUAUAAGUAAUCAUAUAUAUAUAUUAACAAAAGAUACAAAUAUGCUAGCUAUCUGGUACUUUUUCAUAUAAGAAAAGAUCUUAUGUAUAAUAUAGCCUUGGCUGGACUGGAAAAACCCUUCCUCAGCCUUGUAAAUGCUGUAAUUGCAGGCAGGAGCCACCAUGCCUGGCUUUAUAUGGUGCUUUAAAAACAAACACUUAAUCUUCGAUACUCCUUCCCAACUUCUGUUUCAUUUAAUCUAUUAGCUACCUGAAAAUUAAAACUUCCUUUUCCUCUGCCUUAAAAAAA